Small nucleolar RNA from Phascolarctos cinereus (koala), 81 nucleotides. The record is from Ensembl. Lineage: Eukaryota; Metazoa; Chordata; Mammalia; Diprotodontia; Phascolarctidae.
AACCAGUGAUGUUAAUGAUUCUGCCAAAUGAAAUGGCUAUGAUUUCACCCAUAAACCGUUCCAUUUUUUUUUUCUGAGGUU